CCCAGACUCCUACGGGAGGCAGCAGUGGGGGAUAUUGCACAAUGGGGGAAACCCUGAUGCAGCGACGCCGCGUGGGUGAAGAAGCGCCUCGGCGCGUAAAGCCCUGUCAGCAGGGAAGAAAAUGACGGUACCUGAAGAAGAAGCCCCGGCUAACUACGUGCCAGCAGCCGCGGUAAUACGUAGGGGGCAAGCGUUAUCCGGAAUUACUGGGUGUAAAGGGAGCGUAGACGGUGAUGCAAGUCUGGAGUGAAAGGCGGGGGCCCAACCCCCGGACUGCUCUGGAAACUGUAUGACUUGAGUGCAGGAGAGGUAAGCGGAAUUCCUAGUGUAGCGGUGAAAUGCGUAGAUAUUAGGAGGAACACCAGUGGCGAAGGCGACUUUCUGGACUGUACCUGACGCUGAGGCGCGAAAGCGUGGGUAGCGAACGGGAUUAGAUACCCGUGUACC
RNAcentral lists this ribosomal RNA (447 nucleotides) under uncultured bacterium. RNAcentral describes it as "bacterial SSU rRNA". It matches the Rfam family "Bacterial small subunit ribosomal RNA", at positions 330 to 794 of the family's 1533-position model. The record is from RNAcentral.